GAAAUCCAUGGCUGAUUACAACAAUAACCUCUCUUCAUGUUGGACUUCUGUGUCAUCUUCUUUCAAGUUCUUGCUAGUUGUUGCAACUUUGAUUCUAGUAUUUGGGUUUCUUUUAAUUUUGGAUCUAAAGACCUCUCGAGUUUCAUUAUCUUACAAUCCUUGGGUUGGAGAGCUGGUUCUUCUUCUUUCUCUUCUCCCGCUGCUAAGACCACCACCACCACCAAUUCAUCUCUUGAGGUUGAAGAAGAAACUGAAAGGCACCUGCAUUUUCAUCCAAGGGUGGUUGAAGCU
Molecule: long non-coding RNA, 291 nt
Organism: Telopea speciosissima
Lineage: Eukaryota; Viridiplantae; Streptophyta; Magnoliopsida; Proteales; Proteaceae
Exons: 3
Source: RefSeq, a predicted model, not a curated record